CUGAAUUCCUACAAGAGGCCCUUGGAAUGUCACAUGAAGAUUGUCUCUGAUCCCUCAGUGUGGAGUUUUUUGAAGUAGGAACUUUCAUUAUCAAUUUGAGACCUUAUCUCCUUUUUAAGACCAUGACCAAGAGGUGCUGGAACCACUUCAUGAG
Molecule: long non-coding RNA, 154 nt
Filed under: Mustela putorius furo (domestic ferret)
Lineage: Eukaryota; Metazoa; Chordata; Mammalia; Carnivora; Mustelidae
Description: lncRNA (ENSMPUG00000026995.1)
Source: RNAcentral